RNAcentral lists this ribosomal RNA (441 nucleotides) under uncultured bacterium. RNAcentral's name for it is "partial 16S ribosomal RNA". It matches the Rfam family "Bacterial small subunit ribosomal RNA", at positions 338 to 795 of the family's 1533-position model. The record is from RNAcentral.
CCUACGGGGGGCAGCAGUGGGGAAUAUUGCACAAUGGGGGGAACCCUGAUGCAGCGACGCCGCGUGAGUGAAGAAGUAUUUCGGUAUGUAAAGCUCUAUCAGCAGGGAAGAAAAUGACGGUACCUGACUAAGAAGCCCCGGCUAACUACGUGCCAGCAGCCGCGGUAAUACGUAGGGGGCAAGCGUUAUCCGGAUUUACUGGGUGUAAAGGGAGCGCAGACGGCUGUGCAAGUCUGGAGUGAAAGGCGGGGGGCCCAACCCCCGGACUGCUCUGGAAACUGUAAAGCUGGAGUGCAGGAGAGGUAAGCGGAAUUCCUAGUGUAGCGGUGAAAUGCGUAGAUAUUAGGAGGAACACCAGUGGCGAAGGCGGCUUACUGGACUGCAACUGACGUUGAGGCUCGAAAGCGUGGGGAGCAAACAGGAUUAGAUACCCUGGUAGUC